Molecule: ribosomal RNA, 407 nt
Filed under: uncultured bacterium
Lineage: Bacteria
Description: bacterial SSU rRNA
Rfam family: Bacterial small subunit ribosomal RNA
Source: RNAcentral
AACGAACGCUGGCGGCGCGCCUAAUACAUGCAAGUCGAGCGAGAAGGUGUAGCAAUACACUUGUAAAGCGGCGAACGGGUGAGGAAUACAUGGGUAACCUACCCUCGAGUGGGGAAUAACUAGCCGAAAGGUUAGCUAAUACCGCGUACGCUUCCGGAACUGCGGUUCCGGAAGGAAAGCGAUACUGUGAGUAUCGCGCUCUUGGAUGGGCUCAUGUCCUAUCAGCUUGUUGGUGAGGUAACGGCUCACCAAGGCUUCGACGGGUAGCUGGUCUGAGAGGACGAUCAGCCACACUGGCACUGCGACACGGGCCAGACUCCUACGGGAGGCAGCAGUAAGGAAUAUUGCGCAAUGGACGACAGUCUGACGCAGCGACGCCGCGUGGGGGACGAAGGUCUUCGGAUUGU